GGUGGUUCUCAGGUGACGCACCCUGGAAUCAGGCUCCCUCCUCUCUGGUUCUAGGUGCAUCACCCAAGAAUCGCA
Myotis lucifugus (little brown bat) is the source of this 75-nucleotide non-coding RNA. Lineage: Eukaryota; Metazoa; Chordata; Mammalia; Chiroptera; Vespertilionidae. The record is from Rfam.